This 177-nucleotide small RNA is filed under the name Cellulosilyticum lentocellum. RNAcentral describes it as "Clostridium lentocellum Magnesium sequence". It matches the Rfam family "M-box riboswitch aptamer (ykoK leader)". From Rfam's summary of the family: M-box riboswitch, also know as ykoK leader is described as a metaloregulatory RNA that sense divalent metals and function as a genetic control element of genes related to divalent metal transport in bacteria. It was first reported upstream of the B.subtilis ykoK gene and genes with related functions in other bacteria. Phylogenetic analysis of the distribution of M-box RNAs across bacterial genomes revealed that M-box riboswitches are most often employed for the regulation of Mg2+ transporter genes Lineage: Bacteria; Bacillati; Bacillota; Clostridia; Lachnospirales; Cellulosilyticaceae. The record is from RNAcentral. RNAcentral also lists the same sequence under 1 other name.
UGAAUAGUCCGGUAGAUAAGGUUACCACAGGGAUAAGGAUUGCUGCCGCGAAAUAGUGGAGACACUAUUAGUUGGUUAGCAGGCUAUGUCGAAUCCAAGGCAUAAUCUAAUGCAAUUUCAAGAUGACUCCAGUCAUUGCGCCCUGUGAAGCUAAAGUUUGAACGGUAGUAUAGUAGA